Molecule: ribosomal RNA, 500 nt
Filed under: uncultured bacterium
Lineage: Bacteria
Description: partial 16S ribosomal RNA
Rfam family: Bacterial small subunit ribosomal RNA
Source: RNAcentral
AUUGAACGCUGGCGGAAUGCUUUACACAUGCAAGUCGAACGGCAGCACGGACUUCGGUCUGGUGGCGAGUGGCGAACGGGUGAGUAAUGUAUCGGAACGUGCCCUGUCGUGGGGGAUAACGUAGUGAAAAUUACGCUAAUACCGCAUACGAUCUAUGGAUGAAAGCGGGGGAUCGCAAGACCUCGCGCGAUUGGAGCGGCCGAUAUCAGAUUAGGUAGUCGGUGGGGUAAAGGCCCACCAAGCCAACGAUCUGUAGCUGGUCUGAGAGGACGACCAGCAACACUGGAACUGAGACACGGUCCAGACUCCUACGGGAGGCAGCAGUGGGGAAUUUUGGACAAUGGGCGAAAGCCUGAUCCAGCCAUUCCGCGUGCAGGAUGAAGGCCCUCGGGUUGUAAACUGCUUUUGUACAGAACGAAAAGGUUUCUACUAAUACUAGGAGCUCAUGACGGUACUGUAAGAAUAAGCACCGGCUAACUACGUGCCAGCAGCCGCAGUAA